AAAGAAACGAUGACAGAGACUAGUAAUUUACAAUUUAUCCAAUCAGGGAAAAAGUGCCGUAGACUGAAAGCACUUUAUGGAAUUGUGUAAAUGAAUUCACCUCUCGAGUUGAUACUUGGACCGUAUUAGAGAUUUUCGUAGGAAAGGUUUUCGAACUUAGAGCACUUCUAUAAAAACUCUAAAACGUAAAGGUGUUCCGGUUUUUACCGUUAUUCAAAUGAAGUGAGCAGUGCGAAUCAGUUUAUGCACGGCUAACAAGGGUGGUAACGCGAAUUCAACUCGUCCCUUUU
This 290-nucleotide non-coding RNA is filed under the name Bacillus sp. (in: firmicutes). Its description in RNAcentral is "Bacillus sp. T-box sequence". It matches the Rfam family "T-box leader". Rfam says of the family: Uncharged tRNA acts as the effector for transcription antitermination of genes in the T-box leader family. T-boxes are found upstream of many aminoacyl-tRNA synthetase genes and some amino acid biosynthetic genes usually in Gram-positive bacteria. Lineage: Bacteria; Bacillati; Bacillota; Bacilli; Caryophanales; Bacillaceae. The record is from RNAcentral.